GGUGCUUGCAUCAUGAUUUACAUUUGAGUGAGUGGCGAACUGGUGAGUAACACGUGGGAAACCUGCCCAGAAGCGGGGGAUAACACCUGGAAACAGAUGCUAAUACCGCAUAACAACUUGGACCGCAUGGUCCGAGUUUGAAAGAUGGCUUCGGCUAUCACUUUUGGAUGGUCCCGCGGCGUAUUAGCUAGAUGGUGGGGUAACGGCUCACCAUGGCAAUGAUACGUAGCCGACCUGAGAGGGUAAUCGGCCACAUUGGGACUGAGACACGGCCCAAACUCCUACGGGAGGCAGCAGUAGGGAAUCUUCCACAAUGGACGAAAGUCUGAUGGAGCAACGCCGCGUGAGUGAAGAAGGGUUUCGGCUCGUAAAACUCUGUUGUUAAAGAAGAACAUAUCUGAGAGUAACUGUUCAGGUAUUGACGGUAUUUAACCAGAAAGCCACGGCUAACUACGUGCCAGCAGCCGCGGUAAUACGUAGGUGGCAAGCGUUGUCCGGAUUUAUUGGGCGUAAAGCGAGCGCAGGCGGUUUUUUAAGUCUGAUGUGAAAGCCUUCGGCUCAACCGAAGAAGUGCAUCGGAAACUGGGAAACUUGAGUGCAGAAGAGGACAGUGGAACUCCAUGUGUAGCGGUGAAAUGCGUAGAUAUAUGGAAGAACACCAGUGGCGAAGGCGGCUGUCUGGUCUGUAACUGACGCUGAGGCUCGAAAGUAUGGGUAGCAAACAGGAUUAGAUACCCUGGUAGUCCAUACCGUAAACGAUGAAUGCUAAGUGUUGGGAGGGGUUCCGCCCCUUCCCUG
Molecule: ribosomal RNA, 798 nt
Filed under: Lactiplantibacillus plantarum
Lineage: Bacteria; Bacillati; Bacillota; Bacilli; Lactobacillales; Lactobacillaceae
Description: bacterial SSU rRNA
Rfam family: Bacterial small subunit ribosomal RNA
Source: RNAcentral